Long non-coding RNA from Homo sapiens (human), 1662 nucleotides. Ensembl annotates it as long intergenic non-protein coding RNA 293. NCBI's taxonomy places the organism in Eukaryota, Metazoa, Chordata, Mammalia, Primates, Hominidae. The record is from Ensembl.
AAGCCCUGUCCAGGGGGAAUUUUGAUGUAUCACAAAAACCAGCAUCCAGUUGAUGUGACUCUUCUUCCAGGGUCCUGCCCACAAGAAAGAUUGUGACAUCUCACUGGACAAGCACCCACCCAGGUAAUGUGACUCUACAUUCCUGCCUGGGUCCUGCUCACCAAAGAAAUUGUGACUUACCGCUGAUUGCAAACCCUAAAUGAUGUGACUGUCCUUCAUAUUCUAGACUCUGCCAAGAGAGGGGAUUAUUACAUAUUGCAGAGCCCAGCACCUAGGUGGAGUGACUCUCAUCUUUUUCUUCUACCCCGUAUAUAGCCAGCUUGGUGACCUACUAUUUGAGUCUAUACCCAGGCCCAGACCACAGAUGAAAUUGUGCAAUAUGUGGAACAAACACCUAAACAAUAUAUAACACCUUCCUUGGCUCUGUCUACAAAGGGCACUUUUAUAUAUCACUGGGACCAUCAACCAGGUGAUGUUGUGCCAUAUAACUGAGACCGUAUCAAAAGCCUAAUAACAAGACGUAUGUCUGGAGCCCCGAUAUGCACAGGAUGGUGAUAUAACCCUCUUCUCUGGAAUGGGCCCCACACAAAGGAAGGAUAGUGACAUAUUGCAAGCCCAGGCACACAGGCCCAGAGCACAGUUGAAAUUGUGACAUAUGUACACCAAGCAACCAAGCAAUGUAUAACACCUCAUUUGGCAAUGGAAUCGAGGGCACUUUUACAUAUCACUGAGACCAGCGCCCAGCUGAUGUGAAAUAUUGGCCUGAACCCUGCCUACAAAAGCAUUGUGGCUUUUAUCUAGCUCCAUUACAUAAGUGAUGUGACUUCCUUCUACUGCCUUGGCCCUGCACUUAUGGUGAAUCGUGACACAAAAUUGGGUAGAGCAACCAGCCUGGGCCCUGACCAGCACAGAGAUUGAGGCAUAUUGCUGAACCCAGGACCAAGAUGAAGUCACUCUCCUGCCUUGAUCCUGCACACAGGGACCCUUGUGACAUAUAUACAGGCCAAUUGCCUAGGUGAUGUUGUGCAAUAUACCUGAGACCAGAUCAAUGGCCUAAUAAUGACUCUUUUACCUAGAGCCAGGACAUGUGCAGGAUGGUAACUCUCAUCCCUGAACCUUUCCACAGGUGUUAUUGUCACAUAUACCUUUUCCAGCUCCAAAGUGAUUUAAUAAUCCAGCCUAGUUAUAGCCCACAGAUAAUAUUUGGACAUAUACCUGAGUCAAGAACCUUGGUGAUUUGACUCUCAUGUCUUAACAGUGUCCUCAGAAGGGAUCAUAACAUAUCUCUGGACCCAUCAUCUAGGUUAUGUGACUCUCUUCUCCUGCCUGAACCCUGCUUCCAGUGAAGAGUGUUGCAUUUCUAAGCACUGCAUCCAAAUGACAUGAGUUUCUUGCCUGGGCCGUUUCAACAGAAGGCAUUGUGACAUAUCUCUAGGUCUAUCAUUUAGGUGAUAUGACUCUCCUCUCCUGCCUGGACACUCUCCACAAGGGGCAUUAUGCCAUAGAGCUAGAGCUAGCAACCAAGUUUUGUGAAUUUUCUGUUAGGGCCUUGCCUACAAAGAGAAUUUUGGAAUAUUUCUGGCUUAGAAUUUAAGUAAUGUGGUUGUUCUGCCUGUUCAGUAACCACAGAGGAGAAGGUGAAAUAUAUCUAGGCACCGCAAA